AUUCAUGUUGAUUGUACCCACUAAAUUGAGGAGCAAAACGAGCCAGCUUUGCUUUAAAUUGGCGAGGAGGAACUGGUGUCCGACCAGGUGCCCAUAGCUUUCUGAGUAAAUCACCAAAUGCCAUUGCUAGCUCACCCACCAUUCCCAAGGGGUUUUGCCAAUUUAUCUCUUGAUGAUAAUCCCUCCCGGAAGUAUUUUGCAAACUCAGGAGUAUGAACAAGACAUUGUAUUGCACUAUUCAUAAAGCAUGUGUUUCCUAGGUUCUGCAACCCAGUCAGGCCACCAGAAGACCCCCUUGUACUGACACCACUAACCACAUAUGUGUUAUCCAACUCCCCACCUGGAGACGUCAGGUUUUGACCUUGUGACAACUCCACAAUGCAACUUCUAGAAGCACCCUUGCUUGCAGAAAAACCUCCAUUGACAUUGUUAAGAACCUCCACCAGAAUAUCCUGAUCCAUCUGUAUGUUGGCAUCAUCAAGAGUUUUAUCCAUGUCAUGCAUCAAAGCAUGCUUUCGGUGGCCAUAGUAAUCCCAAAUGCAAACUUGUUCUGAGUUGAGA
This 561-nucleotide unclassified non-coding RNA is filed under the name Hevea brasiliensis (rubber tree). Lineage: Eukaryota; Viridiplantae; Streptophyta; Magnoliopsida; Malpighiales; Euphorbiaceae. The record is from RNAcentral.